This 253-nucleotide ribosomal RNA is filed under the name uncultured bacterium. Its description in RNAcentral is "partial 16S ribosomal RNA". It matches the Rfam family "Bacterial small subunit ribosomal RNA", at positions 524 to 776 of the family's 1533-position model. The record is from RNAcentral.
UACGUAGGGGGCUAGCGUUGCUCGGAAUCACUGGGCGUAAAGCGCACGUAGGCGGAUUGUUAAGUCAGGUGUGAAAUCCUGGAGCUCAACUCCAGAACUGCCUUUGAUACUGGCGAUCUUGAGUCCGGGAGAGGUGAGUGGAACUGCGAGUGUAGAGGUGAAAUUCGUAGAUAUUCGCAAGAACACCAGUGGCGAAGGCGGCUCACUGGCCCGGUACUGACGCUGAGGUGCGAAAGCGUGGGGAGCAAACAGG